Molecule: ribosomal RNA, 429 nt
Filed under: Bacteroidota bacterium
Lineage: Bacteria; Pseudomonadati; Bacteroidota
Description: Bacteroidetes bacterium partial 16S ribosomal RNA
Rfam family: Bacterial small subunit ribosomal RNA
Source: RNAcentral
UAGGGAAUCUUCGGCAAUGGGGGGAACCCUGACCGAGCAACGCCGCGCGAGUGAAGAAGGUUUUCGGAUCGUAAAGCUCUGUUGUUAAGGAAGAACGAGUGUGAGAAUGGAAAGUUCAUGCUGUGACGGUACUUAACCAGAAAGGGACGGCUAACUACGUGCCAGCAGCCGCGGUAAUACGUAGGUCCCGAGCGUUGUCCGGAUUUAUUGGGCGUAAAGCGAGCGCAGGCGGUUAGAAAAGUCUGAAGUGAAAGGCAGUGGCUCAACCAUUGUAGGCUUUGGAAACUGUUUAACUUGAGUGCAGGAGGGGAGAGUGGAAUUCCAUGUGUAGCGGUGAAAUGCGUAGAUAUAUGGAGGAACACCGGUGGCGAAAGCGGCUCUCUGGUCUGUAACUGACGCUGAGGCUCGAAAGCGUGGGGAGCGAACAGG